CGAAAGACAAUCACGAUCACGAGGGUCGAGGUGCAGUGUCCUGGGGUAGGCCCUGCAGCCGAGGGCUAGGCUGCCGGGCCUCCCGGUUGCUCGGCGACAGGGCGGAGCAGGGGGGUGGACGACGAGGGCACGCAGAGGGAGAUUUUGGGUGCGCGAGGAGCAGGACGUGAGAGCAGAGCACAAGGAGCCGUAGAGGGAGGGAGGAAGGAGCCGGAACCCAGAGUGCGGGAGAGCAGUUGGCGCCGCCGCCGCCGCCUGUCGGAAGGAGAGGGGAGCCGCAGCCCAGAGGGCAGCCGGUCCUGGUACCGACCGCCAAAAUCUCACGACGUAGAACAGUCCGGGAAGGACCCAAAGAAUGGCCUUCAUGUCUCACGACUAUCCUCUUAAGGUAAGUCUCUUUUUGAGUAGAUGUGGCAAUAAAGAGAGAAGUAAAAGGAUCACACGUCGGUCGAGGGCGAGAUACCGUAGGUAAGUUGAUGACCUCGACUGGGAAAGAUGACCAACGCACGAUAAGAACGUAGUUUGGCGCCAUGACAAUACCUCGACCCAUAGUGAGGUUAACACUGUAGACCCUACCAUUACGUUGAAGACCAUCCUAGGUUCUAGUAACUUCAACUGUUGUCACACUCUCUCCUAGCACGUGAAGACUUACCACGUGUUUUCAACGAACCAUAGGACUAGCGAUAACCUCUUCGGCACCGUAUACAGAACAGACCUUACAUACCGUCACAUUCGGUUGAUCCUUGUCCCUUACGAUAAGAGUAAUAUGAUGUCGAAAAGAAACGACCGUAGUAACAGUAGACAGACCUACUUGAAGAGGUCUUUCCUAUACCAAACCCAAGACCGUAUAGAGAUAAGUAGCGAUGGUUGUAGACACUCUUAUAGUAGACCUUCCGCAAAUCGGGGUGUUGGUAGUUGUCGCCUGCACCACGACUUAAACUUCCCCGACAGUAACCUAACAAGGUAGACAACUAAUGGGCUUGACUAUUUCAGGCACGAGACGCCCUCCGAAAGAUGGCGGUCUUAGAAGGUUUGCACUGGUUGAAUGAACGAUGACAGGACCAUAAGGAGUAACAAUAGAUAAAGGUUCCGAAGGCACAGCACGAAGGUCACUCUAGUUCCUUACGGGCACCCGUCGUUCCAAGUAUAGGUUAAUUUGACAAGAUGUGUAGCUUAUACGGGUAGUAAGACGUGAGACGCGACUAAUGGUUGGAAAUGAAAUAUAGAGUCGAAGAAAUGUUCUUCAAGUCACCGUUGAAGGACCAAUUGGAAGAGCCAUAUACCUUCCUUAGACUCAUAAGUCCGGUAAGAUAAGGGCAACCACCAGAACGUAUGAUACAUUGACGGGGUAGUUCAAACCGACUACAACAGCGUUUAGGUAAGGUACGCGACAAGAUACACCAGAAGUACGACAGUCGAACGCGAGAGAAGAGUUUCUGCACCUAACUUCAAAGACCAAGUAGUCGCUCCCUACAACGAUCCGUCGAGUUCCUUGUUGUUUACCACUACGGUCCGGUAGCGCUCAGUUUGAACCUCUCCCUCAACUUGUCUAUGUAGGGGUGACGACGACGUAAACCUCCUCACACGUAACCGCGCGACUGACAGGACCGACUAAAGUACCCACGUUAACCAAGUCCUUGGCCAUAUGACGAGCGACAGUGGUAGUAUAUGGUUAUGAAGCUCUGCAAGCUCUUCCUUUCCCGCUGGCUCGAACCAAAGAAGCCGAAAACUAGUUCCUGACAUUAUACCACAAUGACGAUCGGCACUAUGACAGACCCCUGGAACCUAAAUCUUUAACAUCGUCUCAGACGCACACACACAAAACUCCUCGUACCACCGUACAUGUAGCCGGUUCACGUCGGUACCGGUUAAUCGGUGGUACACAAACACAAGUCACCAGAUGACUCAAAACCAAUAGAAUCAUUGGACUAUACAACGGCAAUGAAAACUUCAUUUUAACAUGUAAUCAAAAUAAACAAAACACCGUUAGGAGGCAUCAGGUAUGGUUGG
RNAcentral lists this ribosomal RNA (2010 nucleotides) under Triticum aestivum (bread wheat). Its description in RNAcentral is "partial small subunit ribosomal RNA". Lineage: Eukaryota; Viridiplantae; Streptophyta; Magnoliopsida; Poales; Poaceae. The record is from RNAcentral.